UACGAAGGGGGCGAGCGUUGUUCGGAAUUACUGAGCGUAAAGGGCGCGCAGGCGGCCCUUGAAGUCAGGCGUGAAAGCCCCGGGCUCAACCUGGGAGGUGCGCUUGAUACUCGAGGGCUUGAGUGCGGGAGAGGAGAGUGGAAUUCCCAGUGUAGAGGUGAAAUUCGUAGAUAUUGGGAAGAACACCGGUGGCGAAGGCGGCUCUCUGGGACGGUACUGACGCUGAGACGCGAAAGCGUGGGGAGCGAACAGG
Molecule: ribosomal RNA, 253 nt
Filed under: uncultured bacterium
Lineage: Bacteria
Description: partial 16S ribosomal RNA
Rfam family: Bacterial small subunit ribosomal RNA
Source: RNAcentral